Molecule: long non-coding RNA, 1042 nt
Filed under: Helianthus annuus (common sunflower)
Lineage: Eukaryota; Viridiplantae; Streptophyta; Magnoliopsida; Asterales; Asteraceae
Source: RNAcentral
GUAGAGCGUUGCGAGAGUAGACAUAGAAAGAGGGAGCCAACGAUCGAAGAUUAAGAAGGCGACGACGGUGGUUCUGUUUUUGGCGAUGGCGGUGACUUCAAGUAACGAAGACCGACUAGGGUUCAAGCGACAUUCCGGCUACCCCUUUUUACACUGUUCACCAGGAGUGGGGUUCAUGCCGCAUAUCCUUGAUGUUGCUGGAGAGGUUCAACCUUGACCCUUUAAUGUUUCUUUCUUUGGUAUAGUUUGUUUAUGUUUUUUUUACUACUACAUUUGUAUGGUAAUAAUUGAUUCAGACCAAGACUCUAACACCGGGCCUCUCUCUGUAUUGAUGAUGAGUGUCAAGAAUAAUACACAGGUAGUUAAAGGUUCAAGGUGCAACCAACAAUAUACUCAAUGUGGAUGCAACUCGGAGUGUGGAAAGGAUUGCCCCUGCUUAAACAAUUCCCCUGCUGUGAAAAGUAUUGUGGGUAUGUAUUAUGAGUUUAAGAAGUGAUGUCAGCAUCGUUCUUUUAAGAGACAUACAUGCGCACCCAGUUGAACAUGCCAUAUGUUACUAAAAUCGAUGAUAUAAUACAAAGUAACUGGUGGAUGGUUGACAUAUUAAGACAAAGCUUGCGUAUCAUCAGUUACAACAACAACGACAGGAAGAAGAAACAACUUAGGUGACUUCCAUUUCACUUGGAUGUUGUGCUAAUAUGGCUUUUCUGGAUGUUAGUAUCCCAGCUCUACCCAGGGCUGCUGCAUGUACAACUUUGUUUCAACUACAAUUUCUCUUGCAAAAUGUUUGACAAAGCCUAGCAUUUACAUUCCUAUCAAGAUACAAAAGGUACCUUGGCUGCUACAGUUGAAGAAACGUAGGCGAUGUCUUAUUUGCGGGUUAGACACCGUUCCGGGGUACUGGCGCAAUAUGGGUCAAGUUGGGUAGUGCAACUUGCUGGGUAUUGCUGAUGUAUGCCUGUAAAAUUUAGUUUAAUAUGUUUGUUUUCCUUUUUGCUUCCUUUGGUGUACUGUGGCGAGCCUUUGGCUUGUAGUUUUUUUU